UGGCUCGAGGACGAACGCUGGCGGCAUGCCUAACACAUGCAAGUCGAACGGGGGUAGCAAUACCCUAGUGGCGAACGGGUGAGUAACACAUAAGCAAUCUGCCCUUCACAGGGGGAUAACAGCGGGAAACUGCUGCUAAUACCGCAUAAGACCACGGUACCGCAUGGUACAGGGGUAAAAACGAAUCAGUGGUGAAGGAUGAGCUUAUGUCCCAUUAGCUAGUUGGUGAGAUAACAGCCCACCAAGGCGACGAUGGGUAGCCGACUUGAGAGGGUGAUCGGCCACACUGGAACUGAGACACGGUCCAGACUCCUACGGGAGGCAGCAGUGGGGAAUAUUGGGCAAUGGAGGAAACUCCUUACCCAGCAAUGCCGCGUGAGUGAAGAAGGUCUUCGGAUUGUAAAGCUCUUUGAUUGGGGACGAAGAAGGUGACGGUACCCAAAGAACAAGCCCCGGCUAACUACGUGCCAGCAGCAGC
RNAcentral lists this ribosomal RNA (478 nucleotides) under uncultured bacterium. RNAcentral describes it as "bacterial SSU rRNA". It matches the Rfam family "Bacterial small subunit ribosomal RNA", at positions 26 to 518 of the family's 1533-position model. The record is from RNAcentral.